Molecule: ribosomal RNA, 279 nt
Filed under: uncultured bacterium
Lineage: Bacteria
Description: partial 16S ribosomal RNA
Rfam family: Bacterial small subunit ribosomal RNA
Source: RNAcentral
UGCCAGCCGCCGCGGUAAUACGGAGGGUGCGAGCGUUAAUCGGAAUUACUGGGCGUAAAGCGCGCGUAGGCGGCUUGGUAAGUUGGAUGUGAAAUCCCAGGGCUUAACCUUGGAACUGCAUUUGAUACUGCCAGGCUAGAGUAUGUUAGAGGAAAGCGGAAUUUCAAGUGUAGCGGUGAAAUGCGUAGAUAUUUGAAGGAACACCAGUGGCGAAGGCGACUUCCUGGGCCAAUACUGACGCUGAGGUGCGAAAGCGUGGGGAGCGAACAGGAUUAGAUA